Long non-coding RNA from Mercurialis annua (annual mercury), 1111 nucleotides. RefSeq lists it as uncharacterized. The record is from RefSeq and is a predicted model, not a curated record. Lineage: Eukaryota; Viridiplantae; Streptophyta; Magnoliopsida; Malpighiales; Euphorbiaceae. The transcript has 3 exons.
AGUUUAAACUCAGCAAGCAUAUCAUUUUCAGCUCCCAAAAUUCGUCCUUAACCCUUUCUCCAUGGAAGAACAUCAACCAAACUUCAAAGGAGCAUAACUCAUUCGUUUUUGAUCCGAUUUGGGCGAUUCUCGCGGCAACGGAAAGAGGAGAUCAAUAUCUACUGAUAUAUCCCAAUAAUAUAAGUGAAUUAUAAGCUAAUUGAAGGAUUUUGGAUGGUGAAUUUUGAUGAUUAAAGCUUUGGCUAAGAGACAAUCAUCAAGGGAUAGUAUGAUAUGAUUUGGAGAGUCAAGCUUCCGAAGUUUUAAUUCUCGGAAGUCAUUUGCACAAGAAGUGAAAGAAGGUUUUCAUUCUAGCGGUCCGCAGUAGUCUAGAUGUUUUUGUCUAUGUAUUUGUAUAACGCGUUUUAACUCUGAUAUUUUUGUAAAAUGGGGUCACAAGUAUUUUGAUAUGUGAAAUAUGAUUUGAUUUGCGAAAAAUUUACACAGGUUUUUAGGCUUGCUACGGGUUUCGGAGCUACCACUCCCAUUCCCUAGCGCCGGUCGCGACUCAUAAAUUUGGGUCGUGACAAAGGUGGUAUCAGAGCAAUGGUUUAGAUUCAUAGGCCAUUGCCUGUAUACGAUUGAUGUAUGUAGUUCCUAGGUAUGAUGUCACUAGGUUAAGCUAAGAACUACUGCGGAUUAUAGGGAUUUCCAGUCAUGUCUUUUGAACGUUAUCAACGUUUUCAUCGAUUUUUCAAAAGUUUUACAAAAGCGUCCUCUCCCUUAUGUGCUAUUAGGAGUCGAGUUAGAUGUGUACGAGCACAAAAUAUGUGUGUGUUUACUCGAGUAAGCAAUAUGCUUUCGAGUAUCUAUAGUCUACGAAGAGUUAUAUACUCUCGAGACUCAUAUGAUGUAUGAAUAUCGUUAUGGACAAUGAUUGAAUUAUAAAUUGGUUGGAUUGGAUAUUAUACGAGUGAUGUAAUGUAACAAAUAAGAUAUGUAUGUUUGCAGCGCGAUCACUCAGGAGAGUGAUAUGCUCACAGGUAUGUAAGCCUGUGAUAAUUUAUACGAUACAUAAAAUUUAUAUAUUGUAAUCGAUUGUUAUGAAUAGAAAUAGUUUCUUAUGAUUCAA